CCAGACUCCUACGGGAGGCAGCAGUGGGGAAUAUUGGGCAAUGGGCGAAAGCCUGACCCAGCAACGCCGCGUGAAGGAAGAAGGCUUUCGGGUUGUAAACUUCUUUUGUCAGGGACGAAGCAAGUGACGGUACCUGACGAAUAAGCCACGGCUAACUACGUGCCAGCAGCCGCGGUAAUACGUAGGUGGCAAGCGUUAUCCGGAUUUACUGGGUGUAAAGGGCGUGUAGGCGGGACUGCAAGUCAGAUGUGAAAACUCAGGGCUCAACCCUGAGCCUGCAUUUGAAACUGUAGUUCUUGAGUACUGGAGAGGCAGACGGAAUUCCUAGUGUAGCGGUGAAAUGCGUAGAUAUUAGGAGGAACACCAGUGGCGAAGGCGGCUUACUGGGCUUUUACUGACGCUGAGGCUCGAAAGCGUGGGGAGCAAACAGGAUUAGAUACCCCUGUAUA
RNAcentral lists this ribosomal RNA (449 nucleotides) under uncultured bacterium. RNAcentral describes it as "bacterial SSU rRNA". It matches the Rfam family "Bacterial small subunit ribosomal RNA", at positions 331 to 794 of the family's 1533-position model. The record is from RNAcentral.